RNAcentral lists this ribosomal RNA (253 nucleotides) under uncultured bacterium. RNAcentral describes it as "partial 16S ribosomal RNA". It matches the Rfam family "Bacterial small subunit ribosomal RNA", at positions 524 to 776 of the family's 1533-position model. The record is from RNAcentral.
UACGUAGGGUGCAAGCGUUGCCCGGAUUUAUUGGGCGUAAAGGGCGCGCAGGCGGCUACGCACGUCCGUUGUGAAAUCGCUCGGCUCAACUGGGCGGGGUCGGCGGAUACGGCGUAGCUGGAGCAAGCUAGGGGGCAAUGGAAUUCCCGGUGUAGUGGUGGAAUGCGUAGAUAUCGGGAGGAGCACCAGUGGCGAAGGCGGUUGCCUGGAGCUUUGCUGACGCUGAGGCGCGAAAGCGUGGGGAGCGAUCCGG